This 424-nucleotide ribosomal RNA is filed under the name Fusobacteriota bacterium. RNAcentral's name for it is "Fusobacteria bacterium partial 16S ribosomal RNA". It matches the Rfam family "Bacterial small subunit ribosomal RNA", at positions 355 to 776 of the family's 1533-position model. Lineage: Bacteria; Fusobacteriati; Fusobacteriota. The record is from RNAcentral.
UGAGGAAUAUUGGUCAAUGGGUGAGAGCCUGAACCAGCCAAGUAGCGUGCAGGAUGACGGCCCUAUGGGUUGUAAACUGCUUUUAUGUGGGGAUAAAGUGCGUGACGUGUCAUGCAUUGCAGGUACCACAUGAAUAAGGACCGGCUAAUUCCGUGCCAGCAGCCGCGGUAAUACGGAAGGUCCGGGCGUUAUCCGGAUUUAUUGGGUUUAAAGGGAGCGUAGGCUGUCUAUUAAGCGUGUUGUGAAAUAUACCGGCUCAACCGGUGGCUUGCAGCGCGAACUGGUCGACUUGAGUAUGCAGGAAGUAGGCGGAAUUCAUGGUGUAGCGGUGAAAUGCUUAGAUAUCAUGACGAACUCCGAUUGCGCAGGCAGCUUACUGUAGCAUAACUGACGCUGAUGCUCGAAAGGGCGGGUAUCAAACAGG